This 177-nucleotide ribosomal RNA is filed under the name Anabolia bimaculata. Its description in RNAcentral is "5.8S ribosomal RNA". It matches the Rfam family "5.8S ribosomal RNA". From Rfam's summary of the family: 5.8S ribosomal RNA (5.8S rRNA) is a component of the large subunit of the eukaryotic ribosome. It is transcribed by RNA polymerase I as part of the 45S precursor that also contains 18S and 28S rRNA. The record is from RNAcentral. Lineage: Eukaryota; Metazoa; Arthropoda; Insecta; Trichoptera; Limnephilidae.
AAUUAUCAUUAUUACCCUGAACGGCGGAUCACUCGGCUCGUGGGUCGAUGAAGAACGCAGCUAAAUGCGCGUCAGAGUGUGAACUGCAGGACACAUGAGCAUCGACAUUUCGAACGCACAUUGCGGUCCGAGCAAGACGUAGUUUGUCGACGGACCACUCCUGUUUGAGGGUCGCGC